CAUUAUGUUGUCAAUUGCCAUCACUUGGUCAACUUUCUAGUCUCAAGGAGCUUUCCAUUUCACAUUGUCCGGAAUUGGAAAGAGUUCUGCCUCAACACCUUCCUUCUUUACAGACAUUGGAGAUUUAUGAAUGCAACAAGUUGGAGGAAUGUUUAUGUCUUGAAGGAUCUCCUUUGCUUAAAGAGGUUUCUAUAGAAAGAUGUUCCAAAUUGAAAAGGGCCCCCUUGCCUCAACACCUUCCUUCUUUACAAAAAUUGGAGAUAAGUCAUUGCAACAAGUUGGAGGAAUGUUUAUGUCUUGAAGGAUCUCCUUUGCUUAAAGAGCUUUAUAUAAGAGAAUGUCCAAAAUUGAAAAGGAUUCCGACUCAACACCUUCCUUCUUUACAAAAAUUGGAGAUACGUCAUUGCAACAAGUUGGAGGAAUGUUUAUGUCUUGAAGGAUCUCCAUUGCUUAAAGAGCUUUAUAUAAGAGAAUGUUCCAAAUUGAAAAGGGCCCCACUGCCUCAACACCUUCCUUCUUUACAAAAAUUGGUGAUAAGUGAUUGCAACAAGUUGGAGGAAUGUUUAUGUCUUGAAGGAUCUCCUUUACUUGAAAAUGUUUUUAUAAAAAAUUGUUCCAAAUUGAAAAGGGUCCCCUUGCCUCAACACCUUCCUUCUUUACAAAAAUUGCACAUUUGUGAUUGUGAAAUGCUGGAAGCAUCAAUUCCUAAGGGUGAUAGUAUGAUAGAGUUACAUCUAGAGAGAUGUGAUCGGAUUUUGGUAAAUGAAUUGCCGACCAGUUUGAAACAGUUU
RNAcentral lists this long non-coding RNA (791 nucleotides) under Trifolium pratense (red clover). RNAcentral describes it as "long non-coding RNA (TPRA_LNC000738)". Lineage: Eukaryota; Viridiplantae; Streptophyta; Magnoliopsida; Fabales; Fabaceae. The record is from RNAcentral.